This is a long non-coding RNA of Anas platyrhynchos (mallard), 678 nucleotides long. RefSeq lists it as uncharacterized. The record is from RefSeq and is a predicted model, not a curated record. NCBI's taxonomy places the organism in Eukaryota, Metazoa, Chordata, Aves, Anseriformes, Anatidae.
GCAACACUGCUUUAGGAAGAGGUGGGAACCAAAGCAGAGGAGAGACUGCAUCUGCACCAAGGCUCCAAAACAUAGACCUGUCUGACCCAGUUUGAAACUAGCAUGGGCUCCUUCAGUUUGGAGGUUAUCCAGAAAACAUCAAAGAAUAACACACACCCUGUGAAACAACCACAAGAAUGGAUGAUGUGGUUCAUUGGGUAUGAUGCACCCAAGGACCUCACUCCUGUGAUGGAUGCCAUUCCUGCCUCAGAAAACUAUGUGAUCAGUUUGUCAAGGCAACUGUGGUCAUACUAUAACCACUUCAGACAGAAGAUUCAGGAUCUGAAAGAUGAUAAGUUUCUGCAAGUUUCAUGAAAACUAGUGACUUUGCUGAAGCAAGAGGUUGUGACUUGUCCUCAGUGCAAAAAUUGCCAGGAGGCACAGCUGAGUUCUCUAACUGAAGAUGAAUGGAAAAGAGUAACUGCAUGUUUAAAUACAAAUUUUCAAGUUUCUUUUCUACUAUAAUUUGAUUGCUCUUCAUGAACCUGAAACUAAGGUAAGUUUGGAAUGCCUGAAAUCCAAAGAAACUUUUGUAUUACAAAAAUAGGAUACAAUAAGUGUAUAAAUUAUUUCUUCUAAGAAAAAAAAAAUCUGAAGUAUUCUUUAGCAGAAAGAUUCUCAUACAUUAUUAAUAUAUAA